RNAcentral lists this unclassified non-coding RNA (363 nucleotides) under uncultured bacterium. RNAcentral describes it as "contains 16S-23S intergenic spacer region". The record is from RNAcentral.
UCCCUGUUACCAGGGCAGUCUAUUCAGAAAAAUUCAACUGAAUACAAGGGUUGCGCUCGUUGAUGGACUUAACCAAACAUCUCACGACACGAGCUGACGACGGCCAUGCAACACCUGUCACCGAAUUCCUUUCGGCACAAUUUCCUUUCGGAAACCUUCUCGGGAUGUCAAACCUGGGUAAGGUUCUUCGCUUAGCUUCGAAUUAAAGAACACGCUCCACCGCUUGUGCGGGUCCCCGUCAAUUCCUUUAUGUUUUAGUCUUGCGACCGUACUCCACAGGCGGGAUGCUUAACGCGUUAGCUUCGCUACUAGAAGGGUCGAUACUUCUAACAGCUAGCAUCCAUAGUUUACGGCGUGGACUAC